Mobula hypostoma (lesser devil ray) is the source of this 2801-nucleotide long non-coding RNA. RefSeq lists it as uncharacterized. The transcript is spliced from 3 exons. The record is from RefSeq and is a predicted model, not a curated record. Lineage: Eukaryota; Metazoa; Chordata; Chondrichthyes; Myliobatiformes; Myliobatidae.
GUUCUUUUUAUUUUCAUGUGAUCUGUAUCUGUUCCGUUGUUUAAACUUAAAACAACUAGUUUUCACUCAGUUUUGGACUCUUAAAAGAGCCCAUGGGUUGGAGAAUCACGAGAUCACACAAUUUUGGUGUCGCAAACAGGAUGGUUAUGAAAACAAGAGUUUGAAAACUCUUUGCGGCGGCCGCAAAUGAGCUCGACGAAGGAGUGCUUCUCGCAGGUCAGAGGCAGUUAUGUAAAACAAGAGCUUCGUGGGCAUUAGUCCUUUCUGCGGGUCCUAGCAGCGGCAGCAACAGAGCUCGAAGAACUAAAGAAAAGUACAGAAGGGAUAAGCGGAGCGGCCAUUGUCGGGAGUAGGCCAGUGCUGAGAAUAGAAGAGACAGGCUUUGGCUCAUUCAGGCUUCGGCUAGCUGUCAAUGUGACCGGAGUGCAUCACAGAAUCGUUUUCGUUUUAUAAUCCUGCUCCAGUUCUCAAGUCUUUUUCUGUCGGACUCUCUCGAAAGAUAAUUGGCAGGUUUAUCAAAGGAAGACAGGAAGAAUCUGUGGAAAGAAAGAAAAAGACCUGCACUUCCAUAGAGUCAUGUGUGAAGCAGGGGGACAGGCCAAUUCACCCACAAUGUCCACACUAACCAUGAACACUCAUCAAUACUCACCCAACUUUCCAGCACGUACCUCAAGUCUUAACGGGAGAGUUUGAAUGAUUGAGGGGCUGAGCAAAUGAGUAAGCUGAAACAAGGAAGUUCUGAGGGAGCGAAGAUCUGAAGGAAGGAUGAGGGAUGGAGGGAGCUUAGAGGGAGGGUGUGAAGGAGCAGAGGACAUAUGCCAAACGAAGAGAGGUAUCUAAUAAAGCACCCACUGAGUGUAGAUCUAAAUAUUGAUGGAGGGGAAUCUGCAAUUGGUGUUUCCAACACACCUGCUGAUGACUCGUUCCUUCUUUGGCAUAGACAUGAGUUGCCAUUCUCAGCCCAAGCCUAAAUAUCAUCAAGGUCUUGCUGAUGUCCUAGACAAGACGUGACAGACAGAAAGGAACUGAGAAAAGGGGAUGACAUAUUUACAGAAAACAGGGUGGGAAGAGGUAUAGUUAUGAUAGCUGUGGAAAUUGUAUAAAAGAUGUCAGUAGACAUUUGUAUCCAGAGAUAGAGACGGAGGGAUUGAGAGAGGGGAGUUAGAUGUCAGAAAUGGACCAAGUGAAUUGAAGGGCAGGGUGGAGGUAGGAGGCAAAGCUGAUGAAGCAAACAAGCAUGAACGUAUGAGUGCAUGAAGCAGUACCAAUGUGUCGUCAAAAUAGGGAAGGUUUAGAAAAAUGGACUGUUAUGCUUACCUAAUGAAAGACAGUCAUAGCUGGGGCCUUUGCAGGUGCCCAUGGCUACCCCUUGAGAUUGGAGAAAUUGGUAGGAGCUGAAGGAGAAAUUGUUGAAGGUGUGGAUCAGUUUCGCCAGACAGAGGAGAGAGGUGGUGGAGGGGAUCUGGUUGGGUCUUUUGUUGAGAAGGAAGCAGGGAGCUUUAUAGACCUUCUUGAUGGUGGAUAGAAGUGUAUAGGGACUAGAUAUUCCUGGUCAGGGCCAGUGAAUUGAAGGUUGUUGAGGAGACUGAGAGCAUGUGAAGCGUAAUGGGUGUUGGUGACAAGGGACAGAACCAAGGGGGAUAGAACAGAGUCCAGGUGCAUGGACACGUUCAGUUGGAAAAGAGCAGUUGGAGAAAAACAUUUCUGUACCAGGACCAUCAGGUCUGUGGAUCUUGUGUGAAGGUAGAAAGGAGCAGUCCGGCACAACAGAGUUAUGAGUUUGGUGGCAGUAGAUAGGAGAACUCCAGAGUUAGUGAGAUAGUAAUUGUGUCAGAGAUCAUUUUCUGUUAGCUCUGAGUGAAGUCCUUUUCAAGGGGUAAGAGGAGGUGGCCUCAGCAAGCUAGAGGUCAGUCCGCCACACAUUCAGCACCCCCUUUGUCUGCGGGUUUGAUGGUAAGAUUGGGAUUGGUGCAUAAAAGUGGAGAGCGUAGAGUACGUUCAGAGGGGUUAGUGUUCAACGAGAACAGAGGAGAUCUGAAGUCGAGCUGGUUGAUGUCUUGUCAGCAAUUAGAGAUGUAAAGAUCCAGAAGGAUCAGAGCAGGGAGGCCAAGAAGAGGAAGAGGUUUGGAGACAGGAGAAGGGAUCAUCAGUGUGGGGUGGGGAAUUCUUGCUUGAAUACAGAGGCGACAGUGGAAGAGCUCAGUGUCAUGGAAGGUGUGGUAUAAGCAGUAAUUCAGUUCAACGCCAUUACAGCAUCAGUGACCCAGCUUCUUUUAUUUUCUUUCUUUCUUUCUUUAUUUUGGCGUGCACCUGCAUGCGUGUGAGUCUGCGUGUGCAUGCGUGCGUCCAUGAUGAUGUCUUUUUCAUGGCUCUUUACAAGGCGGGGAGUGAGAGAGAGACUGUGUGGUGCGCCACUCCUCACACAGAUAUUUUCGCAGUGUUUUCCCUUUUUUUUUUACGAGGUCGAGUUGUGAUCUGGACACUCAACCCGGCACGGAUGGAAAGCGUACUCGGGGGGUGAGGGGGACCCGACUAGAUUCGAAACCCCGAAUCUCUGCUCCCGGGUCCAGCGCCGAUGUCGUUGCGCCACCAGCCGGCCCAGCGACCCAGCUUCAAUUCCCGCUGCUGUCUGUAAGGAGUUUGCACGUUCUCCCUGUCAAAGUGUGGCUUUCUUCUUGGCGCUCUGUUUUCCUCCCACAUUCCAAGGACGCACGGAUUCGUAGAUUAUUUGGUCAUAUGGAUUAAUUGGGUGGUCCGGGCUCAUUGGAUUGGAAGGGCCUGUCAUCAUGCAGUAUCUCUAA